AGAGUUCGAUCCUGGCUCAAGAUGAACGCUGGCGGCGUGCUUAACACAUGCAAGUCGAGCGAAGCACUUAAGAAAGAUUCUUCGGAUGAUUUCCUAUUUGACUGAGCGGCGGACGGGUGAGUAACGCGUGGGUAACCUGCCUCAUACAGGGGGAUAACAGUUAGAAAUGACUGCUAAUACCGCAUAAGACCACAGCACCGCAUGGUGCAGGGGUAAAAACUCCGGUGGUAUGAGAUGGACCCGCGUCUGAUUAGUUAGUUGGUGGGGUAACGGCCUACCAAGGCGACGAUCAGUAGCCGACCUGAGAGGGUGACCGGCCACAUUGGGACUGAGACACGGCCCAAACUCCUACGGGAGGCAGCAGUGGGGAAUAUUGCACAAUGGGGGAAACCCUGAUGCAGCGACGCCGCGUGAGCGAAGAAGUAUUUCGGUAUGUAAAGCUCUAUCAGCAGGGAAGAAAAUGACGGUACCUGACUAAGAAGCCCCGGCUAACUACGUGCCAGCAGCCGCGGUAAUACGUAGGGGGCAAGCGUUAUCCGGAUUUACUGGGUGUAAAGGGAGCGUAGACGGAGCAGCAAGUCUGAUGUGAAAACCCGGGGCUCAACCCCGGGACUGCAUUGGAAACUGUUGAUCUGGAGUGCCGGAGAGGUAAGCGGAAUUCCUAGUGUAGCGGUGAAAUGCGUAGAUAUUAGGAGGAACACCAGUGGCGAAGGCGGCUUACUGGACGGUAACUGACGUUGAGGCUCGAAAGCGUGGGGAGCAAACAGGAUUAGAUACCCUGGUAGUCCACGCCGUAAACGAUG
RNAcentral lists this ribosomal RNA (803 nucleotides) under uncultured bacterium. RNAcentral describes it as "bacterial SSU rRNA". It matches the Rfam family "Bacterial small subunit ribosomal RNA", at positions 8 to 811 of the family's 1533-position model. The record is from RNAcentral.